This 108-nucleotide ribosomal RNA is filed under the name uncultured bacterium. RNAcentral's name for it is "partial 16S ribosomal RNA". It matches the Rfam family "Bacterial small subunit ribosomal RNA", at positions 1373 to 1482 of the family's 1533-position model. The record is from RNAcentral.
CCCGGGCCUUGUACACACCGCCCGUCACACCACGAAAGCCGGUUACACCAGAAGUCGACGAGCUAACUUCGGAGGCAGUCGCCCAAGGUGAAGUCGGUGAUUGGGGUG